RNAcentral lists this transfer RNA (73 nucleotides) under Phycisphaerae bacterium. Its description in RNAcentral is "tRNA-Ala". It matches the Rfam family "tRNA". From Rfam's summary of the family: Transfer RNA (tRNA) molecules are approximately 80 nucleotides in length. Their secondary structure includes four short double-helical elements and three loops (D, anti-codon, and T loops). The record is from RNAcentral. Lineage: Bacteria; Pseudomonadati; Planctomycetota; Phycisphaerae.
GGGGGCGUAGCUCAGUUGGUAGAGCGCAUCCAUGGCAUGGAUGAGGUCGAGAGUUCGAGUCUCUUCGCCUCCA